GAUGAACGCUGGCGGCGUGCCUAACACAUGCAAGUCGAGCGAACGGACGAGACGCUUGCUUCUCUGACGUUAGCGGCGGACGGGUGAGUAACACGUGGAUAACCUAUCUAUAAGACUGGGAUAACUUCGGGAAACCGGAGCUCAUACCGGAUAAUAUUUUGAACCGCAUGGUUCAAAAGUGAAAGACGGUCUUGCUGUCACUUAUAGAUGCAUCCGCGCUGCAUUAGCUAGUUGGUAAGGUAACGGCUUACCAAGGCGACGAUGCAUAGCCGACCUGAGAGGGUGAGCGCCCACACUGGAACUGAGACAGGGUCCAGACUCCUACGGGAGGCAGCAGUCGGGAAUCGGGCGCAAGGGGCGAAAGCCUGACGCAGCAACGCCGCGUGUGUGAUGAAGGUCUUCGGAUCGUAAAACUCUGUUAUGAGGGAAGAACAUAUGUCUAAGUAACUGUGCACAUCUUGACGGUACCUAGUCAGAAAGCCCCGGCUAACUACGUG
Molecule: ribosomal RNA, 497 nt
Filed under: uncultured bacterium
Lineage: Bacteria
Description: partial 16S ribosomal RNA
Rfam family: Bacterial small subunit ribosomal RNA
Source: RNAcentral